This 2124-nucleotide ribosomal RNA is filed under the name human gut metagenome. RNAcentral describes it as "bacterial LSU rRNA". It matches the Rfam family "Bacterial large subunit ribosomal RNA", at positions 707 to 2812 of the family's 2925-position model. The record is from RNAcentral.
GUAUAGACCCGAAACCCGGUGAUCUAGCCAUGGGCAGGUUGAAGGUUGGGUAACACUAACUGGAGGACCGAACCGACUAAUGUUGAAAAAUUAGCGGAUGACUUGUGGCUGGGGGUGAAAGGCCAAUCAAACCGGGAGAUAGCUGGUUCUCCCCGAAAGCUAUUUAGGUAGCGCCUCGUGAAUUCAUCUCCGGGGGUAGAGCACUGUUUCGGCAAGGGGGUCAUCCCGACUUACCAACCCGAUGCAAACUGCGAAUACCGGAGAAUGUUAUCACGGGAGACACACGGCGGGUGCUAACGUCCGUCGUGAAGAGGGAAACAACCCAGACCGCCAGCUAAGGUCCCAAAGUCAUGGUUAAGUGGGAAACGAUGUGGGAAGGCCCAGACAGCCAGGAUGUUGGCUUAGAAGCAGCCAUCAUUUAAAGAAAGCGUAAUAGCUCACUGGUCGAGUCGGCCUGCGCGGAAGAUGUAACGGGGCUAAACCAUGCACCGAAGCUGCGGCAGCGACACUAUGUGUUGUUGGGUAGGGGAGCGUUCUGUAAGCCUGUGAAGGUGGCCUGUGAGGGUUGCUGGAGGUAUCAGAAGUGCGAAUGCUGACAUAAGUAACGAUAAAGCGGGUGAAAAGCCCGCUCGCCGGAAGACCAAGGGUUCCUGUCCAACGUUAAUCGGGGCAGGGUGAGUCGACCCCUAAGGCGAGGCCGAAAGGCGUAGUCGAUGGGAAACAGGUUAAUAUUCCUGUACUUGGUGUUACUGCGAAGGGGGGACGGAGAAGGCUAUGUUGGCCGGGCGACGGUUGUCCCGGUUUAAGCGUGUAGGCUGGUUUUCCAGGCAAAUCCGGAAAACCAAGGCUGAGGCGUGAUGACGAGGCACUACGGUGCUGAAGCGACAAAUGCCCUGCUUCCAGGAAAAGCCUCUAAGCAUCAGGUAACAUCAAAUCGUACCCCAAACCGACACAGGUGGUCAGGUAGAGAAUACCAAGGCGCUUGAGAGAACUCGGGUGAAGGAACUAGGCAAAAUGGUGCCGUAACUUCGGGAGAAGGCACGCUGAUAUGUAGGUGAAGCGACUUGCUCGUGGAGCUGAAAUCAGUCGAAGAUACCAGCUGGCUGCAACUGUUUAUUAAAAACACAGCACUGUGCAAACACGAAAGUGGACGUAUACGGUGUGACGCCUGCCCGGUGCCGGAAGGUUAAUUGAUGGGGUUAGCGGCAACGCGAAGCUCUUGAUCGAAGCCCCGGUAAACGGCGGCCGUAACUAUAACGGUCCUAAGGUAGCGAAAUUCCUUGUCGGGUAAGUUCCGACCUGCACGAAUGGCGUAAUGAUGGCCAGGCUGUCUCCACCCGAGACUCAGUGAAAUUGAACUCGCUGUGAAGAUGCAGUGUACCCGCGGCAAGACGGAAAGACCCCGUGAACCUUUACUAUAGCUUGACACUGAACAUUGAGCCUUGAUGUGUAGGAUAGGUGGGAGGCUUUGAAGUGUGGACGCCAGUCUGCAUGGAGCCGACCUUGAAAUACCACCCUUUAAUGUUUGAUGUUCUAACGUUGGCCCGUAAUCCGGGUUGCGGACAGUGUCUGGUGGGUAGUUUGACUGGGGCGGUCUCCUCCCAAAGAGUAACGGAGGAGCACGAAGGUUGGCUAAUCCUGGUCGGACAUCAGGAGGUUAGUGCAAUGGCAUAAGCCAGCUUGACUGCGAGCGUGACGGCGCGAGCAGGUGCGAAAGCAGGUCAUAGUGAUCCGGUGGUUCUGAAUGGAAGGGCCAUCGCUCAACGGAUAAAAGGUACUCCGGGGAUAACAGGCUGAUACCGCCCAAGAGUUCAUAUCGACGGCGGUGUUUGGCACCUCGAUGUCGGCUCAUCACAUCCUGGGGCUGAAGUAGGUCCCAAGGGUAUGGCUGUUCGCCAUUUAAAGUGGUACGCGAGCUGGGUUUAGAACGUCGUGAGACAGUUCGGUCCCUAUCUGCCGUGGGCGCUGGAGAACUGAGGGGGGCUGCUCCUAGUACGAGAGGACCGGAGUGGACGCAUCACUGGUGUUCGGGUUGUCAUGCCAAUGGCACUGCCCGGUAGCUAAAUGCGGAAGAGAUAAGUGCUGAAAGCAUCUAAGCACGAAACUUGCCCCGAGAUGAGUUCU